This 24-nucleotide non-coding RNA is filed under the name Arabidopsis thaliana (thale cress). Lineage: Eukaryota; Viridiplantae; Streptophyta; Magnoliopsida; Brassicales; Brassicaceae. The record is from RNAcentral.
AGGGUUUCAGUCAAACUUAGGCAU